AUCCCGUCGCCAUCACCAUUGCACUUGAAAAUUACCGGGAAGUCGUGCUUUCAUAUCUUGAGCUUCUGAAACGGCAGAAGGGCGACGGGCCCGGAAAGCAGGCCGAGACAGGCAGCCAUCUAGUGAGAGCUGAAGGAAGAGGAAUCGCUGGGACCUGGUGGGACACUGGGGGCCUCCUGUGGGACGAAAUACAAGAUCGUCUGCAAAAGAAUGGAGCGGGUGUACAACCCAAGCCCAUGGGCGUGGACAUUGAAGCGGAGGACUCCAAGAGCUGCGUCACUAAUUUUAUCAGCUCCAAACGACAGGAAACAGGCUCGGGACAUCUGUCUUUAGACGACCACAUUCAUCCUACAGUUUUAAACUGUAUGAGAGUCAACCUCGCAACGCAAAUAUUGAGCGAUAUCGCCAUAAGUGAUCUACUGGGAUCGCUGCCCCUUUCAUGCAUUCAGCGGCCAUGGAGACUUCAAAUUUCCUGCAUGUUCUGUUUGAUUGUUUGAACAGUUCAUGCGUUGAACAAGGUGACGACAAGAAGAUGAGGUCGGGAUAUUCAGCGCACGAGUCCUCUGCACCUUUCCUCUUUCGACCCAUCUUGUUGGUGACACUCCUACUGACUGACAAGCGC
This is a long non-coding RNA of Ornithodoros turicata, 622 nucleotides long. RefSeq lists it as uncharacterized. The transcript is spliced from 4 exons. Lineage: Eukaryota; Metazoa; Arthropoda; Arachnida; Ixodida; Argasidae. The record is from RefSeq and is a predicted model, not a curated record.